UGGGGAAUAUUGGACAAUGGGCGCAAGCCUGAUCCAGCGACGCCGCGUGAGUGAUGAAGACCUUCGGGUUGUAAAGCUCUGUUGAGGGAGAAGAAAACGUUUGGCGCGAAUAGCUCCAGACCUUGACGGUAUCCCUUUAGAAAGCACCGGCUAACUCCGUGCCAGCAGCCGCGGUAAUACGGGGGGGGCAAGCGUUGUUCGGAAUUACUGGGCGUAAAGGGCUCGUAGGCGGCCAACUAAGUCACACGUGAAAUCCCUCGGCUCAACCGGGGAACUGCGUGUGAGACUGGAUGGCUUGAGUUUGGGAGAGGAAUGCGGAAUUCCAGGUGUAGCGGUGAAAUGCGUAGAUAUCUGGAGGAACACCGGUGGCGAAGGCGGCAUUCUGGACCGACACUGACGCUGAGGAGCGAAAGCCAGGGGAGCAAA
Molecule: ribosomal RNA, 426 nt
Filed under: uncultured bacterium
Lineage: Bacteria
Description: bacterial SSU rRNA
Rfam family: Bacterial small subunit ribosomal RNA
Source: RNAcentral